This is a long non-coding RNA of Lathyrus oleraceus (garden pea), 930 nucleotides long. RefSeq lists it as uncharacterized. Lineage: Eukaryota; Viridiplantae; Streptophyta; Magnoliopsida; Fabales; Fabaceae. The record is from RefSeq and is a predicted model, not a curated record. The transcript is spliced from 3 exons.
UUGAAUUUAAAAAUGAAAAUAACGUGCAAGGCAAAAAUAAGUUGAGUUCAUGACUCAGGUGAAAGCCAUUGUGGGCCACCGUGCCGGAAAUCGCUUCUGGCGGCGGUGGCCAUCAAAAACCUAAAUUGAAGUCAUCAAUUGAUUCAUCUUAUCAAGCUCUCUAUGAAUCUCCUAUCAAUUUCAUGAAAUUCUAAACCUAAGUCCCUAACCGCAUCCUAUUGCUCAAGAACCCUCAGUGUAAGAACCUUAAAUUACAUGCUCAUCUUAAGGAAUCAGAGCCCAGGGGAUUGGGGACUUGAUUCCUCCCUCAACACACUACAUCAUGGCAACAAGAAAAUGGUGAAAAGUGAAUUUUCAGAAGGUCACUUUGCCGGAGAUGACGAAGACGACAAAGAAAUUUCGUUUGCAUGCUUGGAAUUUAUUGCAGGCGGGUUCAUGAUCUUGGAAAGGCUUUGCUUGGUUAUGUAAGGUUCAUGUGACUUGCUGGAAAGUUUGCUUAGUAAGGUCUGCACUUGAUCAUUGCUAGCAGGACUUUGGCUUGGCAUGCUCUUGGUUGAUAUGUGGGUUGUUUAGAUGAGUGCAAGGCCUAAUGCUUUGGAUCAUGAUGUGACAUGGAUGAACAAUGAAGGAAGCAUGUAACAAGGCCUAAAAUAUGAUAUUACUUGCUUGCACUUGAAGUAACAUUGGCAAAUGGAAAAAAUCAAGUGGAAACUUUGAAUAUUCAAGUGGAAAUGGGAAUUAGGGUUUGGGGAUGUAAAAAAGGGUGAGUUGACUUUAGUCAACUGGUUGAGCAAAAAGUCAACAGUUGACCAAAAGUCAACCUUUGUAGAAAAUUGUCAAUUCUUUGUAAUUUCGUAUGUAUGGAAAUUUGAUGAUUUGUAUGAAUGGAAUUUGGUAUUUGUUUAUGAAUGAAAUUGAUAUUUGAAUUGA